UACAGAGGUCUCAAGCGUUGUUCGGAUUCAUUGGGCGUAAAGGGUGCGUAGGUGGCGGGGUAAGUCAGGUGUGAAAUUUCGGAGCUUAACUCCGAAACUGCAUUUGAUACUGCCUUGCUUGAGGACUGGAGAGGAGACUGGAAUUCAUGGUGUAGCAGUGAAAUGCGUAGAGAUCAUGAGGAAGACCAGUGGCGAAGGCGGGUCUCUGGACAGUUCCUGACACUGAGACACGAAGGCCAGGGGAGCAAACGGG
This 253-nucleotide ribosomal RNA is filed under the name uncultured bacterium. RNAcentral describes it as "partial 16S ribosomal RNA". It matches the Rfam family "Bacterial small subunit ribosomal RNA", at positions 524 to 776 of the family's 1533-position model. The record is from RNAcentral.